This 713-nucleotide long non-coding RNA is filed under the name Rattus norvegicus (Norway rat). Its description in RNAcentral is "long non-coding RNA NONRATT014143". The record is from RNAcentral. Lineage: Eukaryota; Metazoa; Chordata; Mammalia; Rodentia; Muridae.
CCCCACAGUGGCUCCUGGAGGGACCGACCCUUCAAACCCUACAACUUCUCUGCCCGUGGUGUGCUCCCAGACAGUGGCCACCUGCACCCCUUACUCAAGGUCCGCUCCCAGUUCCGACAAAUCUUCUUGGAGAUGGGGUUCACAGAGAUGCCUACGGACAAUUUCAUCGAGAGCUCCUUCUGGAACUUUGAUGCACUCUUCCAGCCUCAGCAGCACCCAGCGCGUGACCAACAUGAUACUUUCUUCCUGCGAGAUCCAGCCGAGGCCCUGCAGCUCCCAAUGGACUAUGUCCAGCGGGUGAAACGGACCCACUCCCAGGGUGGCUACGGCUCACAAGGGUGAGGCAGAAGCAGGACUCUUGAGAGGGGAGGGACGGGAUGCUGGAGUUCCAGGACCUCAGGGCAGACAUCCUGCUUUUUCUCCUGAAGCUACAAGUAUACCUGGAAGCUGGAAGAGGCCCGGAAAAACCUGCUUCGCACACAUACCACAGCAGCCAGCGCCCGAGCCCUCUACCGUUUAGCCCAGAAGGUGCAGCUUGUCCUGGGCAGGUGGGUGGUUGGUACUGUCCUAUAGACCUUCUGACCCAGGCCAGGGCCAGGCCUGACCUGGCUAUCACUCCUCCUCCCCAGAAGCCAUUUACACCAGCCAAGUACUUCUCUAUUGAUCGUGUGUUUCGGAAUGAGACGCUGGACGCCACACACCUGGCCGAGUUC